ACGACUGCUAAUACCGCACAAUGUCUACGGACCAAAGGGGGCUUCGGCUCUCGCCUUUAGAUUGGCCCAAGUGGGAUUAGCUAGUUGGUGAGGUAAUGGCUCACCAAGGCGACGAUCCCUAGCUGGUUUGAGAGGAUGAUCAGCCACACUGGGACUGAGACACGGCCCAGACUCCUACGGGAGGCAGCAGUGGGGAAUAUUGCACAAUGGGCGCAAGCCUGAUGCAGCCAUGCCGCGUGUGUGAAGAAGGCCUUCGGGUUGUAAAGCACUUUCAGUCAGGAGGAAAGGUUAGUAGUUAAUACCUGCUAGCUGUGACGUUACUGACAGAAGAAGCACCGGCUAACUCCGUGCCAGCAGCCGCGGUAAUACGGAGGGUGCGAGCGUUAAUCGGAAUUACUGGGCGUAAAGCGUACGCAGGCGGUUUGUUAAGCGAGAUGUGAAAGCCCCGGGCUCAACCUGGGAACUGCAUUUCGAACUGGCAAACUAGAGUGUGAUAGAGGGUGGUAGAAUUUCAGGUGUAGCGGUGAAAUGCGUAGAGAUCUGAAGGAAUACCGAUGGCGAAGGCAGCCACCUGGGUCAACACUGACGCUCAUGUACGAAAGCGUGGGGAGCAAACGGGAUUAGAUACCCCGGUAGUCCACGCCGUAAACGAUGUCUACUAGAAGCUCGGAGCCUCGGUUCUGUUUUUCAAAGCUAACGCAUUAAGUAGACCGCCUGGGGAGUACGGCCGCAAGGUUAAAACUCAAAUGAAUUGACGGGGGCCCGCACAAGCGGUGGAGCAUGUGGUUUAAUUCGAUGCAACGCGAAGAACCUUACCUACACUUGACAUACAGAGAACUUACCAGAGAUGGUUUGGUGCCUUCGGGAACUCUGAUACAGGUGCUGCAUGGCUGUCGUCAGCUCGUGUUGUGAGAUGUUGGGUUAAGUCCCGCAACGAGCGCCACCCCCUAUCCUUAGUUGCUAGCAGGUAAUGCUGAGAACUCUAAGG
Molecule: ribosomal RNA, 988 nt
Filed under: Pseudoalteromonas sp. M4
Lineage: Bacteria; Pseudomonadati; Pseudomonadota; Gammaproteobacteria; Alteromonadales; Pseudoalteromonadaceae
Description: bacterial SSU rRNA
Rfam family: Bacterial small subunit ribosomal RNA
Source: RNAcentral